AACGAAGCUAGCCCGUGACCUAAUCCGCCACCAACCGCAGACGCCUCCGCCUCUCCUGCCGCCGCCGCCUCCUCCUCUCCUGCUGCCGCCGCCUCCUCCUCUCCUGCUGCCGCCGCCUCCUCUCCUCCACUUCUCUCCUCCUCCCGUCGAAGACCUAGCGCGUGGUCGUUGUUGCCACUCGCCCCUCUCCUGCUCCCGCGUCUUCGACCCCACCCUCGCCAGCUCCCGAUGCUCUGUCGAGUGGAGAAGAGGGGUGCGGCAGAGAAGGAGACCAGAGGAUGGCGAUGGGGGAAGGAGCAGCAGGGUUGGAGCACCCUGGCCAUCGUACCCAUCCCCAACGCCUCACCCGCUUCCUCCGCACCUCGCCCCGUUCCCCUCCUUCCCUGCUCUCCACUACGCCUCCUCCUCUCCUUCAGUUUUCUCUUCGAUGACGCUGCCAAAGAAAGUGCACACGAGCGGUGGAUCCGUGCCAGAGAAGGGUGGCGGUGACUUCGCUCCGGUCAUGGUGGGGUGCAGCCGCCGGGAAGAUAAAGGUGGGGACUUGUUGGUGAGCUGCUACUACAUCGACUGCGGCAUGAACGAGUUCGCAAUAUUGCCGGCGCAGUCUCUUGUGUUCCUACUCCACGGCUGUAUUCCAACACCCCUUCAGACUUUCAUUUCAAGCUUGAAAGUCUAGCACAAGAAUUCGGCUCCCUGUCUGAAUUCGCGGAGCAUCUUGCUGCCAACGUUGACAUUGUCUUCCCAGUGAUACAUGGGAAAUUUGGUGAACAUGGUGGUAUUCAGGUUCGGAGUUACCAACGAAUAUUAAAUAUGCUUUACAUGCAAGAGAAAAUUAUGCUGGUGCCAUAGUGCAUGCUUGCAGGUAUUAGUGCGCUUGAUUUGGCACGGAACUGGCAUGUAAUGCUGACUGUGUCUUGGUUCUUUUAUAAGAAUCCCACAUUGCUGCUGCUUUCUGUUGAUGAUAAGACGCUAACACCUACCAAAUGGCUGCGCUCCGGUCGUGCAGGGGUGCAGCCGCCGGGAAGAUAAAGUAGGUCUGCCGCCCGUCUCUACCUCUCACCGCGCCCUUACUGCCUCCAUGGCCAAGCGCAUGUUUUUUUCUGUGUCCCUCCAUAGCGCUCGUUACCGGCGGGAUACAUUUGACACUAUCUCAAAUCCAGUUUAUUUGACAUGUGUUUGAAAUGUAUAUUUAGCAUAAAGAUAAUACUGCAUUUCCUUAGGGACCUUAGUUUUGGCUCUGUUCUUGCUCAUAUUAUAAGUAAAAUAUUAAUACUUUGUGUCUCCAGCCAGUUCUUGAUCAAAGGAAGAUGCAUUAACAAUUCGUGUCUCCAACCAGUUUAGAUCAUAGGAAACUAUGGCAUAAUGCACUGCUGAAUUUUCUUGUUAGUGCUCACUGACAAUAUUUGUUCUCACGUACGGUAAUGCCUUUCGGUUAAACUAGGAAUUAGUUCAUUAUUGAAAGGUUUCAUCUGCAUAUUUUUUUGCUUCAUUCAUUUUUGGUCUAUUUAUUUUGCAUAGAAAACCAUCUUUGGUAUGCUUUAAUAGGGCUUAUUUAAUACAGUACAAGCAAAAUUGGAAGUAAUAGCAAACCAGCCAUGAAAAGUUUGAGAGACCAUGCAAACCACAAGAAAUGAUGUGCUCCUGUUAUUUUGCCAUGAUCUUGUGGCCCAGUUCCAAGGCUCUAUAAACUAAUGUUAGCUACUUGCUUCUUUGGAUGCCUUAAUUAGAGCCAGCGAGGAAGAUGGGGAAGACAGAGCCAGCAAGGAAGAUGGCUCGGCCCUGCCGCUGAUGCCCACCGGCCACUUCCGUCAGGCUCCGUCGUGGGAGGGGGCGCACCAUUUUUGGGUGUUCCUUUCCUACGAUCUGUUCAGGAACUGUAUCACAACAGAUCAUUGGCAUUGUAGCUUCAGUGGACAUGUAUGCUGAAUAUCCCCUCACUGGACAAUAUUGGAUUUUAGUGUAUACAAGCCCUCCUCUCAGCUGCUCAGGCAUAAACACCUUACUGCAAAUGUUCUUCGUGUCUCGCCUCCCCAUCGUGAUGGGUGGCUCCUACAGCUUCGCCAUGCCAACCAUCUCCAUCAUCUUGGCUGGACGCUACGACAUGUGGGAGAUCCUCACGAGUUUAACACAUAUUGGAGGGUGGGAGGAUAUACCGGUGCAAUGGAUGAACCAAGACUACCAAGAGGUCAAUUGCCUGAGUAUAUGCCAACUAUCUGAAUACAUAUGGCAUGAGACUGACGCCGAUUAGUUCCUCCCUGAAUGCUUGACUGCCGGAUCUUCUUUCAUCGGAAAUUGUUGUGCACUGAUAAUUUUGUUAGUUCUCACCCUCCCUAUUCAAACAGAAUUCAAGCAUAUUACGUGAUGUAUGUAUAUAAGAAGCUUAGUCGUGUGUCAGGCUUUGCAAAUAAAACUUAGAGCUCAAGUAGUUCAGAAUCAUACUGAAUAUCGUGUAUCAUGUAUCUAUAAUAACAAGCAUAACUGACUAUGAUUUUUUAGGAUAUUAUUUGCAGAUUUUAGGAAAGGAAACCUGACAGAGUUCCAGGGAAGUGGAGCGGUGAGACCAGAAGCUGGGUGAUCAAAGCAACUACAUGAUGCAUCUCUGUCUAUGUAGCUGUUUACCAUAAGCUGGGUGAUCAAAGCAAUCUACAUGAUGCAUCUCUGUCUAUGUAGUUGUUUACCAUAAGCUGGGUGAUCAAAGCAAUCUACAUGAUGCAUCUCUGUCUAUGUAGCUGUUUACCAUAAGCUGGGUGAUCAAAGCAAUCUACAUGAUGCAUCUCUGUCUAUGUAGCUGUUUACCAUAAGCUGGGUGAUCAAAACAAUCUACAUGAUGCAUCUCUAUCUAUGUAGCUUUACUUAGCAUAAACUGAUCUUAAUGACUUUGUUUAAACCUAUGAGCCUACCAUCUAUGUAGCUUCAUACCAUCUAUAUAAUGUGUCCCUUCCUAUCUACUUCCCUUGUGUAUCACAUUGUAACGAAGCAUUUAUUUACCAGCAGUAAAGACUUGGGUGUUUGAAUAUUCCCACAAUUCUUGGCUCCCUCUC
RNA transcript from Triticum aestivum (bread wheat), 3041 nucleotides. RefSeq lists it as uncharacterized. NCBI's taxonomy places the organism in Eukaryota, Viridiplantae, Streptophyta, Magnoliopsida, Poales, Poaceae. The transcript has 8 exons. The record is from RefSeq and is a predicted model, not a curated record.